GCUCGCCUUCCGGAGCCGGAGGGACUCUUCUCCACAAGACUGAGGGGAAGGCGGCGGCGGCGGCGCGCGAAGGGAGUCGCGCUUCGUCCAAGCGGGGCCCCCCACCGAGUGAAGGGAGCGGCAGAAGCGGGGCAGCAGGGAGGGGCGGGGGAAGAACCCCGAGAAAAUAAGGCUGGAAACGUGAAGAGGGAUCGCCUUUAUAUGGCAUGCAUGCGACCACUUUCGUGAGCGAUCCUUAGGAUCCCCCGCGCAGAGAUGAAGGAGAACCUGCUCACUUAGCACACACCCGCCACCGCCCACAGCUCAGCAUGCGAAUGUGGUGGCUGGCCUGCGGCUGAGGAGCAGCUUUCCAUUUCAGCCACUCAAGAAGACCAGCAAACAAGCAGGUGAGAGGUGAGAGGUGAGAGCGGAGGAAUGCUCCAUCUCCUUUCUGGUUUGAUAUUUGAGUUAUUUCAUCUCCCUUUCAAAACCACAGGAGGGAGAGAUACAGACACCCUUUAAAAGGUGCCUCUUAAUUUCUCUCCUCUUUUGCUCUUCUUAUAAUAUCUGGCUCUCAGGAACAAUUCACACGUACGUCAUUGUUUUCUGUUUUUGAUUAUAUUUUAUUUUAUGGGGUAUUGCGCCUUUCAUUAUGUGAACUGCUCUGACAGUUCUUCGUGGAAGGAAUAAGCGAA
Zootoca vivipara (common lizard) is the source of this 674-nucleotide non-coding RNA. The record is from RefSeq and is a predicted model, not a curated record. Lineage: Eukaryota; Metazoa; Chordata; Lepidosauria; Squamata; Lacertidae.